GAGCCGCCGAGAUCAAUGGCAGAGGCAAUCUGAAGUUCAUGCCUGCUAGUUUCAUGGCCAGCAGGCUCUGGAGUCCGUAGAUGUAGGAUCUUGCGAUCUUUGCCUAACAUGACAAAGUCAAAAAAACAGCGAUUGCAGGCGUGAAUCUGACGGAGGAUGAAAUAACAGGUAGGACCAUUACAGACGGCGAAGAAAGUGUCCCGAAGGUGUGGAAGGGUCUGGGAUAGGGACACCAAGUACCUCCUCAUGGCGGAGAGAGUCGCCUUCAGAGCUUGACGGGAGAAGCGGCGAGAGGCAGAGUCAACAGAAUGCAGAACAGAAGCCUGAAGUCCCACACCACCAAGUUCAGGAACAGCUACUUUCCUACAGCCAUCAGUGCCAGCCGCCUGGGUUUGAUCCUGAUCUCAGGUGCUAUUUGUGUGGAGUUUACAUGUUCUCCCUGUGAUGGUAUGCAGUUCCCCACACAGCCCAAAGCCGUACAGAAACAGCAAUGAAGAAUCUGUCUACAUCUGAGAGUGACAGAAUUCCUGAGUCUCCACCUGGGACUUGUGUGACUGACAGUAAACGGAGAGGAAGCUACUGACAUGAUGAAGGAAGCCCCGAACACUGCCAGAGAUGGAGGACUUCAUUGCUGCCCUAAACGCCAGUGGUGUAAUGGGCAAUAAAUGCUGCUUAUCUGAUGCUAUGUGCCGUGACGCUGCUUUUUCUGUUACCAGGUUCGGAAAUGCCCAAGUGUGGAGUGAGAGACAGCGAAGCAGGUCAUAGUUCACAGACUUUAAUAUGAACAGUGUUAAAGGGAAAAUAAAACAAUAAACGCUAGGCCAAACAGGGACAUUAACUAAAACUCUCAAAAGGAAAACAAAGCCUACACUGCGGCUGAAAAGAACUAACCAUUAAACAAAUACUGCUAAUCUUCAGAGUCAGUUGACUUGAAAGUUCAAUGUCUCAGGGAAGGCUGAAUACAAACAGCAGCGUUGUUAUGCUCUGUCCAAGUCUCGACAAGCACUACGACAACAAGUAUGGAGUUAAAUACUGUCACGAUUAAAUAAUAAUUAGCUGACACGUGCAAAUUCACAAGCGCUAUUGCCGUAUCUACUGUGCUGCCAAAUCCGUGGUUGUGACACUUUUACUGGUUACGCUGCUGGCAUUGAGGGCGGCAGUGAAGGUCCUCGAUCUCUGGCGGUGUUCACGGCUUCCGUCGUCAUGUCAGCAGCUUCCUCUCGGUUUUCACUACCAUCAGCCAUACCAGACCCGGGGGAGACUCAGGAAUACUGUAGCACACAUGAUUCGAGGGAUUCUUAAUUGUUGUUUCUGUAACAGUUUUGGUUGACCAGUCAGAGUUGUUAGCCCUGAGAUGAAUCUCCAAACCUGGAGGAUUGGUGAACACUAUUAGUCUGGCGUCUACCCUUUGAUCUGUUUGGCAUGGGUGACCCUACCAAGAGCCAAAGCACAAAGCCCUGACUCCAGCCAACAUAGCUCUCCGGGUCAUUGAGGUACGCGAGCCUCCAAACCAUGACAAGGUUGGGGUCCACUUGGAGGUGUGACACUGCUUUCCAUUGCACCUGGGCGUACAUAGACCUGUGCAGAUAAGCAUUUGCUGUUUUAAUGUUGAUGUUGCUUGUGUUGUUCCACUGAACGUUAUCAACAUGCCAUGUUGGUGCCAGAAUGUGUGCUGACUGCCCCCAGCACAUCCAUAGGUUCUGCUGGCUGUUGAUGCAAACAAUGCACUUCACUCUAUGUUUCGAUGUAGCUGUGAUAACUAAAUGAAUAUGAACUGGAAUAAUCUUGACUUUGGAAAAUAAUGCUGCAGAAUAUUCUCUUUGACAAAAAGAAGCCCUUGCCAGAAUCAGAAUGAAAAUCAGGUUUAUUAUCACCUACACAUGUUGUCAAAUUUGCUGUUUGCAGCAGCAUGACAUAAAAAUUACAAAUGAAUGAUGAAAGAGUAGAAUAUGAGGUAGUGCUCAUUGGUUCAUGGACCAUUCAGAAAUCCGAUGGCUGAGGGGAAGAAGCUACCCUUAAAUUGCUGAGUGAGUGUCUUCAGGCUCCUGUACUUCCUCCCUGAUGACAGAAACAAGAAGAGGGCAUAACCUUCACGGUGAGAGCUCCUAGUGAUGGAUGUUGCCUUCUUGGAGCACUGGGUCUUGAUGCUGUCCGCUGCGGUGGGGAGGGUUGUGCCCGUGAUGGAACUGGCUGGGUCUACAACCCCCUGCAGCCUCUUGCUCCCCUGAGCACUGGGGCCUCCACAACAGGCAGCGAUGUAACCAGUCAGAAUGCUCUCCGACAUGCAUCUGCAGAAGAGUUUGGUGGCAUGCCAAAUCUUCUCAUUCCCUGAAAUAUUAUAUUCCGUCUGGGUAGCCUCCAACCUGAUGGCAUGAACAUUGACUUCUCUAACUUCUGUUAAUGCCCCACCUCCCCCUCGUACCCCAUCAGUUAUUUAUUUAUUUAUUAUUAAUUUUUUUUCUCUCUCUCUCUCUCUCUCCUUUUUCUCCCUCUGUCCCUCUCACUAUACUCCUUGCCCAUCCUCUGGAAUUCCCCUCUCCCGCUUUCUUUCUCCCUAGGCCUCCUGUCCCAUGAUCCUCU
Molecule: long non-coding RNA, 2580 nt
Organism: Mobula hypostoma (lesser devil ray)
Lineage: Eukaryota; Metazoa; Chordata; Chondrichthyes; Myliobatiformes; Myliobatidae
Exons: 5
Source: RefSeq, a predicted model, not a curated record